This 453-nucleotide ribosomal RNA is filed under the name uncultured bacterium. Its description in RNAcentral is "bacterial SSU rRNA". It matches the Rfam family "Bacterial small subunit ribosomal RNA", at positions 340 to 786 of the family's 1533-position model. The record is from RNAcentral.
UACGGGAGGCAGCAGGGGGAAUAUUGCACAAUGGGCGCAAGCCUGAUGCAGCCAUGCCGCGUGUAUGAAGAAGGCCUUCGGGUUGUAAAGUACUUUCAGUCGUGAGGAAGGUGUUAAGGUUAAUAACCUUAGCAAUUGACGUUAGCGACAGAAGAAGCACCGGCUAACUCCGUGCCAGCAGCCGCGGUAAUACGGAGGGUGCGAGCGUUAAUCGGAAUUACUGGGCGUAAAGGGCACGCAGGCGGUUAAUUAAGUUGGAUGUGAAAUCCCCGGGCUUAACCUGGGAAUGGCAUUCAAGCUGGUUAGCUAGAGUCUUGUAGAGGGGGUAGAAUUCCAUGUGUAGCGGUGAAAUGCGUAGAGAUGUGGAGGAAUACCGGUGGCGAAGGCGGCCCCUGGACAAAGGACUGACGCUCAUGUGCGAAAGCGUGGGGAGCGAAACAGGGAUUAGAUACC